This 700-nucleotide ribosomal RNA is filed under the name Escherichia coli. RNAcentral's name for it is "partial 23S ribosomal RNA". It matches the Rfam family "Bacterial large subunit ribosomal RNA", at positions 532 to 1230 of the family's 2925-position model. Lineage: Bacteria; Pseudomonadati; Pseudomonadota; Gammaproteobacteria; Enterobacterales; Enterobacteriaceae. The record is from RNAcentral.
AGGGGAGUGAAAAAGAACCUGAAACCGUGUACGUACAAGCAGUGGGAGCACAGAGCAAUCUGUGUGACUGCGUACCUUUUGUAUAAUGGGUCAGCGACUUAUAUUCUGUAGCAAGGUUAACCGAAUAGGGGAGCCGAAGGGAAACCGAGUCUUAACUGGGCGUUAAGUUGCAGGGUAUAGACCCGAAACCCGGUGAUCUAGCCAUGGGCAGGUUGAAGGUUGGGUAACACUAACUGGAGGACCGAACCGACUAAUGUUGAAAAAUUAGCGGAUGACUUGUGGCUGGGGGUGAAAGGCCAAUCAAACCGGGAGAUAGCUGGUUCUCCCCGAAAGCUAUUUAGGUAGCGCCUCGUGAAUUCAUCUCCGGGGGUAGAGCACUGUUUCGGCAAGGGGGUCAUCCCGACUUACCAACCCGAUGCAAACUGCGAAUACCGGAGAAUGUUAUCACGGGAGACACACGGCGGGUGCUAACGUCCGUCGUGAAGAGGGAAACAACCCAGACCGCCAGCUAAGGUCCCAAAGUCAUGGUUAAGUGGGAAACGAUGUGGGAAGGCCCAGACAGCCAGGAUGUUGGCUUAGAAGCAGCCAUCAUUUAAAGAAAGCGUAAUAGCUCACUGGUCGAGUCGGCCUGCGCGGAAGAUGUAACGGGGCUAAACCAUGCACCGAAGCUGCGGCAGCGACGCUUAUGCGUUGUUGGGUA